This 253-nucleotide ribosomal RNA is filed under the name uncultured bacterium. RNAcentral describes it as "partial 16S ribosomal RNA". It matches the Rfam family "Bacterial small subunit ribosomal RNA", at positions 524 to 776 of the family's 1533-position model. The record is from RNAcentral.
UACGUAGGGUGCGAGCGUUAAUCGGAAUUACUGGGCGUAAAGCGUGCGCAGGCGGCGGCUCAAGUCAGGUGUGAAAUCCCCGGGCUUAACCUGGGAAUUGCGCUUGAAACUAGGUCGCUAGAGUGUGGCAGAGGGGGGUGGAAUUCCACGUGUAGCAGUGAAAUGCGUAGAGAUGUGGAGGAACACCGAUGGCGAAGGCAGCCCCCUGGGACAACACUGACGCUCAUGCACGAAAGCGUGGGGAGCAAACAGG